AACGAACGCUGGCGGCAGGCUUAACACAUGCAAGUCGAGCGCAUCCUUCGGGGUGAGCGGCGGACGGGUGAGUAACGCGUGGGAACGUGCCCUCUUCUACGGAAUAGCCUCGGGAAACUGAGAGUAAUGCCGUAUACGCCCGCAAGGGGAAAGAUUUAUCGGAGGAGGAUCGGCCCGCGUUGGAUUAGGUAGUUGGUGGGGUAACGGCCUACCAAGCCGACGAUCCAUAGCUGGUUUGAGAGGAUGAUCAGCCACACUGGGACUGAGACACGGCCCAGACUCCUACGGGAGGCAGCAGUGGGGAAUCUUGGAUAAUGGGGGCAACCCUGAUCCAGCCAUGCCGCGUGAUCGAUGAAGGCCUUAGGGUUGUAAAGAUCUUUCAGCUGGGAAGAUAAUGACGGUACCAGCAGAAGAAGCCCCGGCUAACUCCGUG
Molecule: ribosomal RNA, 433 nt
Filed under: uncultured bacterium
Lineage: Bacteria
Description: partial 16S ribosomal RNA
Rfam family: Bacterial small subunit ribosomal RNA
Source: RNAcentral